GUUGAAGAACGUAGCGAAAUGCGAUAAGUAAUGUGAAUUGCAGAAUUCAGUGAAUCAUCGAAUCUUUGAACGCACAUUGCGCCCCUUGGUAUUCCGAGGGGCAUGCCUGUUCGAGCGUCAUUUUGACCACUCCCGCUUGCGGGGUCUUGGGCCUUCGCCUCUGGGCGGGCCUUAAAAUCAGUGGCGGUGCCGUCCGGCUCCAAGCGUAGUAAAUCUCCUCGCUAUAGGGUUCCGGAGGGAUGCUGGCCAACAACCCCCAACUUUUAAGGUUGACCUCGGAUCAGGUAGGGAUACCCGCUGAACUUAAGCAUAUCAAUAAGCGGAGGA
This 327-nucleotide unclassified non-coding RNA is filed under the name soil metagenome. Its description in RNAcentral is "partial contains 5.8S ribosomal RNA, internal transcribed spacer 2, and large subunit ribosomal RNA". The stretch from base 1 to 120 matches the Rfam family "5.8S ribosomal RNA", at positions 35 to 154 of the family's 154-position model. The record is from RNAcentral.